GAUGAACGCUGGCGGCGUGCUUAACACAUGCAAGUCGAACGAAACACCUUAUCUGAUUUUCUUCGGAACUGAAGAUUUGGUGAUUGAGUGGCGGACGGGUGAGUAACGCGUGGGUAACCUGCCCUGUACAGGGGGAUAACAGUCAGAAAUGACUGCUAAUACCGCAUAAGACCACAGCACCGCAUGGUGCAGGGGUAAAAACUCCGGUGGUACAGGAUGGACCCGCGUCUGAUUAGCUGGUUGGUGAGGUAACGGCUCACCAAGGCGACGAUCAGUAGCCGGCUUGAGAGAGUGAACGGCCACAUUGGGACUGAGACACGGCCCAAACUCCUACGGGAGGCAGCAGUGGGGAAUAUUGCACAAUGGGGGAAACCCUGAUGCAGCGACGCCGCGUGAGUGAAGAAGCAUCUCGGUAUGUAAAGCUCUAUCAGCAGGGAAGAAAAUGACGGUAC
This 452-nucleotide ribosomal RNA is filed under the name uncultured bacterium. RNAcentral describes it as "bacterial SSU rRNA". It matches the Rfam family "Bacterial small subunit ribosomal RNA", at positions 28 to 478 of the family's 1533-position model. The record is from RNAcentral.